UCUUUCUCUUUUCUCCUUCUCGCUUUGGAACACAGCCCACUAAAGGUACAAAUUUUCUUUCUCUCUCUAUCUUUUCUUUUAUUUAUUUUUAUGCUUUUGGUUUUUGUGGUUUCUUGUUUUCUUUCUUAGUUGUUUAUGUUUUUCUUUAUUGCUCCCUCUCUUUAUAAAUAUGCAAAUUUGGGGUUAUAUUUGUCGAGAGAGUGGAUCUUCCAGACUUUAGUCUUGACGGUGGGAAGAAAAGAUUGUAAUUUGAGGGAAAUGUUACUGGGAUUUUGUUAUAUUUCAGAUCAAAUAUUUUGAGGGUCUCAAGUAAUAGUGAUCUGACUUUUCAAAACAUGUAGCUUCAUUGACACUCGUAAUUGAUGAAAAUUUAGCUCCCUUUUUGUUUAAUGCAGUCAUUGAAUGUGUGACGAUUUUUUAGAUUGAGAAAGUUAUAUUUCACCUGAUUCUGAUUGGGAUAAUUAAUGGAGAAGUUAGGGCCUAUGGGACAUUUUAAUUAGCACUUUCAAUUAUGGAGUCAAGUCAAAAAUAUUUAUUUCUUUUUAAGCAUUGCAAACAAAAGUUUUCAAGAAUUCUGUGGGGUUAUAGCCUAUAGGCCUAUAGUGUUGGGGGAGUAUGUGGUGACCAAGAAUGGACUCACUUAAUCCAUGGGUGCUCGUAUACUCUGAGAAAAAGAUAAGGCUGAAAAGCAGCUAUAAAGUCUUUGAAUCUUGAAUGUUUUUAAAUGCGAUACGCCUGCAAAUGUCCCUGUUUCUCGUGCUAGCAUGUGAAUGGGGCGACCUUCGGGAAUUGCUCAUUGUGUUAUAAUUCGUGAAAGAUGGUUUUUAAAUGUUUCAUCAUGCCAUGCUCUCUCUGCAAUCUCACAAAAACCGAUCUCUGUUAGAAAGAAAAUCCUGGAGAAUGUUACGAGUUAUUCGACUUUGCUGACUAUCAAUACUUGGGUAUAUACGAGAGCAGAUCAUUAUUUCAGAUACAGGUCGGUAUUUCGUAGCCAAACGUAGCUUAACAAUAUCCGUUGUUGUACUUGGCACAAGAUUGAACGGGUUGAAGAUCCCUACUUUCAGACACUUACUAAAGGGGAAUGGUUAUUUGUUCAAGAUAUGAUGGAAAUAAAUGGUAAAGCUUCCCACAAUAAUGAGCAGAAGACUUUGGUUUCUGCACCUCCGGCCAAUGUACCAAAAAGGACAUCAGAGAAUAAUUCGAGCACUUCUAUAUUUGUCAAUCAUGCUGCCAUUGCAUGGGCUGAGAGCAGAAGAAAAUGGAUUGGAAAUGCUCCUCAGAGGUCAGACAGAACAAUGAAGGAUCCGAUUAUAAGCUGGUCCACAACCUACGAGGAUCUGCUCUUGACUCACGAUCCAUUCUCCGAGCCAAUUCCUUUACCUGAGAUGGUCGACUUUUUGGUUGAUAUCUGGCACGACGAGGGGCUUUUUGAUUAGAAUAACCUUAUUGAAAAUAGUUCAGGCAUCUAUAACCCUUCUCUCACUCCAUUAUCUCAGAUUGAAAGCAACACCAACAGACUCUACCGCCUCGGAAUGAUGACGUUCCAACAACCGCAACCCUCGUUCCUUUGUUAUACCAUUAGGUUAGUCUCAAUUCUACAUGUAUGCUAAUGCUGUACUCUUUCUUAGCUCAUGUUCUUCGAUUCUACAAGUGAUAGCAUGUAGGGAAAGCUAGUUAGAUGUCGGAUGUCUAGUUAUUUAGGUAGUGGCGCUACAUGUGCCAGGCUCGACCUAUAAGGUACUCAGACCGUGUGAAGUAUCUUAUCCGGUCUCGUUGGUUUACUCUAUAUAGUAGGUCGUUGCAAAGUCGAGUUCUUGGUCGCUACAUGUAGUAGGGUUUUUUUUUUUUUUUGAACUGUUUAGAAUUCAUCAAGUAUAAUUGAGCUGGAGCUCUCUUGUUUGUAAGGAAUCGAAGGGUUGCAGAAUUAGAUGUAUUUGACAUGUACUGAUGCUGUGAUGCCUCAUUUCGAAUAAUAUUGUAUCUGGUUUGAUUGUUUAUAGAAUCUUGAUUUUGAUGGCA
Salvia miltiorrhiza (redroot sage) is the source of this 2019-nucleotide RNA transcript. RefSeq lists it as uncharacterized. The transcript has 7 exons. Lineage: Eukaryota; Viridiplantae; Streptophyta; Magnoliopsida; Lamiales; Lamiaceae. The record is from RefSeq and is a predicted model, not a curated record.